Molecule: ribosomal RNA, 724 nt
Filed under: uncultured bacterium
Lineage: Bacteria
Description: bacterial SSU rRNA
Rfam family: Bacterial small subunit ribosomal RNA
Source: RNAcentral
AGUGGCGGACGGCUGAGUAACACGUGGGUGACCUACCUCCGAGCGGGGGAUAACUGCCCGAAAGGGUAGCUAAUACCGCAGACGUCAAUGGAGCAUACCGUUGACUAAACUCGCAAGGGGCUUGGAGAGGGGCCCGCGGCCGAUUAGCUUGUUGGUGGGGUAACGGCCUACCAAGGCGACNAUCGGUAGCUGGUCUAAGAGGAUGAUCAGCCAGACUGGGACUGCGACACGGCCCAGACUCCUACGGGAGGCAGCAGUUAGGAAUUUUGGGCAAUGGGGGAAACCCUGACCCAGCAACACCGCGUGGGUGACGAAGGCCUUCGGGUUGUAAAGCCCUUUUCCAGGGGAAGAUAGUGACGGUACCCUGGGAAUAAGCCCCGGCUAACUACGUGCCAGCAGCCGCGGUAAUACGUAGGGGGCAAGCGUUGUCCGGAUUUAUUGGGCGUAAAGCGCUCGCAGGCGGCCUGACCAAGUCGUGCGUGAAAUCUCUCGGCUCAACUGAGAGCGGUCGUGCGAUACUGGUCGGCUCGAGGCCGGUAGGGGGGAGUGGAAUUCCGGGUGUAGUGGUGGAAUGCGUAGAUAUCCGGAGGAACACCAGUGGCGAAGGCGGCUCCCUGGACCGGUCCUGACGCUCAGGAGCGAAAGCGUGGGUAGCGAUCCGGAUUAGAUACCCGGGUAGUCCACGCCGUAAACGAUGAGCACUAGGUGUGGGGUAUCGACCCCC